RNAcentral lists this ribosomal RNA (301 nucleotides) under uncultured bacterium. RNAcentral's name for it is "partial 16S ribosomal RNA". It matches the Rfam family "Bacterial small subunit ribosomal RNA", at positions 509 to 808 of the family's 1533-position model. The record is from RNAcentral.
CAGCAGCCGCGGUAAUACAGAGGGAGCUAGCGUUGUUCGGAAUUACUGGGCGUAAAGCGCGCGUAGGCGGUUACUCAAGUCAGAGGUGAAAGCCCGGGGCUCAACCCCGGAACUGCCUUUGAAACUAGGUGACUAGAAUCUUGGAGAGGUCAGUGGAAUUCCGAGUGUAGAGGUGAAAUUCGUAGAUAUUCGGAAGAACACCAGUGGCGAAGGCGACUGACUGGACAAGUAUUGACGCUGAGGUGCGAAAGCGUGGGGAGCAAACAGGAUUAGAUACCCGCGGUAGUCCCUGUCUCUUAUA